AGUGAACGCUGGCGGUAGGCCUAACACAUGCAAGUCGAACGGCAGCACAGUAAGAGCUUGCUCUUACGGGUGGCGAGUGGCGGACGGGUGAGGAAUACAUCGGAAUCUACUUUUUCGUGGGGGAUAACGUAGGGAAACUUACGCUAAUACCGCAUACGACCUACGGGUGAAAGCAGGGGAUCUUCGGACCUUGCGCGAUUGAAUGCGCCGAUGUCGGAUUAGCUAGUUGGCGGGGUAAAGGCCCACCAAGGCGACGAUCCGUAGCUGGUCUGAGAGGAUGAUAAGCCACACUGGAACUGAGACACGGUCCAGACUCCUACGGGAGGCAGCAGUGGGGAAUAUUGGACAAUGGGCGCAAGCCUGAUCCAGCCAUACCGCGUGGGUGAAGAAGGCCUUCGGGUUGUAAAGCCCUUUUGUUGGGAAAGAAAAGCAGCAGGUUAAUACCCCGCUGUUCUGACGGUACCCAAAGAAUAAGCACCGGCUAACUUCGUG
RNAcentral lists this ribosomal RNA (492 nucleotides) under uncultured bacterium. RNAcentral describes it as "partial 16S ribosomal RNA". It matches the Rfam family "Bacterial small subunit ribosomal RNA", at positions 29 to 507 of the family's 1533-position model. The record is from RNAcentral.